RNAcentral lists this small RNA (153 nucleotides) under Chrysemys picta bellii (western painted turtle). Its description in RNAcentral is "TUC338 (ENSCPBG00000001536.1)". Lineage: Eukaryota; Metazoa; Chordata; Testudines; Emydidae. The record is from RNAcentral.
UUGACAGCACUGGAGACCAAAGUAGUUCAUUUCUUGACAACAGAAAGACCCCAUGAUGCCCUACCAGUGUGUCUCAACCUGCCAUGGAGGGACCAACCUCUAGGCAGAUGAGAUUGAAUUUUAAGUCUCUAAAACCAGUCAUACUUAGCCCCU